CCGUGCUAAACGGGGAGAUAGCGGUGCCCUGUAACCUGCAAACCGCUACAGCAGGGUUGACCACCUCUAUGAGGGAUUCCUGAAGUGGAGCUGCCCUCGAUAAGUACCGAUGAAGGAUGAGUCCUGCGCAAUAAGGACUUUCGAACCCUGUCAGGUCCGGAAGGAAGCAGCAGUAAGGGAGACCCCUUAUGUGCCGCGGGAGCGCUUGUCUGGAGAAAACUGUCGAGGUAACGUCUGUUUUGAGAUUUCGAUGGAGGCGCACGG
This 264-nucleotide signal recognition particle RNA is filed under the name Tissierellia bacterium. Its description in RNAcentral is "signal recognition particle sRNA large type". It matches the Rfam family "Bacterial large signal recognition particle RNA". Rfam says of the family: The signal recognition particle (SRP) is a universally conserved ribonucleoprotein involved in the co-translational targeting of proteins to membranes. Archaeal SRP consists of a 7S RNA and homologues of the eukaryotic SRP19 and SRP54 proteins. The record is from RNAcentral. Lineage: Bacteria; Bacillati; Bacillota; Tissierellia.